Molecule: long non-coding RNA, 870 nt
Organism: Cyprinus carpio (common carp)
Lineage: Eukaryota; Metazoa; Chordata; Actinopteri; Cypriniformes; Cyprinidae
Exons: 3
Source: RefSeq, a predicted model, not a curated record
AUAUGUUAUUUAUAUGAUUAGAUGUGAGCAUCUACAAGUUUUCUGUUUCCUCCAUAGGCUCUCUAUCAUGCAGGCGAGAAGAAACUGGGAACUGAUGAGUCCAAGUUCAUUGAGAUCCUCUGUAAAAGGAGCAUCCCUCACCUGAGACAAAUUACCAACUUAAUCAUCCAAAUAAACACAAACGUUUCGCAUAGGAACUGAAAUGGCAUGUGUUUUGAGUAUAAUUUGGCAUGUCCUGUUACAGUAAUAUUGGAAUAUAAAAACAUCAGUGGCAAGAAUUUGCAGAAGAGCAUUGAGAAGGAGUAUCUGGAGGAACUGCUGGUUGCCAUUGUAAAGUGUGUGAUGAGUACUCCUGCAUACUUUGAUGAAAAAGUCUACAAAAGCAUGAAGGGAGCAGGUACAGAUGAAACCACUCUGACCAGAGUAAUGGUCAGCUGUGGAGAGACUGACAUGCUGGACAUCAGAGCUGAAGCUCUAUCAGAAUUCACUCAAGAAAAUAAGAGUAAGUAUUCUCCACUGAUGUAAACACUGUAGCACGGGUUCAGGCCAUCUGGUAAUAUUCUUUAAAUCAUGCUUGAGGCCAGUAGUACAUCACUCCCUGAUCCUCUGGUUUAUUAGUUUAAUCAUGCCAUCAAGUCCAUUCUUCAUGGCCAAAACACUCUUUUCUCAUUCGUGUCACUAUAUUCCAUGCAAAUGAAACAAAUUUUUGAUGAUGACUAAGAGUUUUGUAUUUUAUGUUAUGAUAAGUGACUUUGCUCAUUUUUAUUUCAUUCUGACGUGUCUGGCAACUAUGGUUAUUGCUUGAAGAUGAUUUGUGGAGGAGAAGACUAACCCAGAAAUGCUACUAAAGAUGUCUUGUUUAGUUAUUAC